Molecule: ribosomal RNA, 243 nt
Filed under: Triticum aestivum (bread wheat)
Lineage: Eukaryota; Viridiplantae; Streptophyta; Magnoliopsida; Poales; Poaceae
Description: partial small subunit ribosomal RNA
Source: RNAcentral
AUGUGGUACCUUGAUCUUGUCGGGGAAGAACUCAGGGGCGAUGAGCUUCCGCUGGCGUGCCCAGGCGUCGCCGUUGGACUUGAGGAUGCCAUCGCCGAAGAGCGGGUGGUGCGUGACCUUCAUGUAGGUGCUCUUGCCGAGCUCGUCCGGCGAGACGGAGAGGCAAACGUCGCGGACCACGGCCGGGUCGCUCGCGUGCAGGAACACCAUGUUGCCCACGGAGUAGGUGAACACCGGGCCUAG